CCUAGGAAACAAGAUGCUAAUACCGGAUAACAACAGAUGAUGCCUAUCAACUGUUUAAAGAUGGUUCUGCUAUCACUCUUGGAUGGACCUGCGGUGCAUUAGCUAGUUGGUAGGGUAACGGCCUACCAAGGCGAUGAUGCAUAGCCGAGUUGAGAGACUGAUCGGCCACAUUGGGACUGAGACACGGCCCAAACUCCUACGGGAGGCAGCAGCC
This 214-nucleotide ribosomal RNA is filed under the name uncultured Lactobacillus sp. Its description in RNAcentral is "partial 16S ribosomal RNA". It matches the Rfam family "Bacterial small subunit ribosomal RNA", at positions 148 to 355 of the family's 1533-position model. Lineage: Bacteria; Bacillati; Bacillota; Bacilli; Lactobacillales; Lactobacillaceae. The record is from RNAcentral.